GUGCUCACUUCAGCAGCACGUAUACUAAAAUUGGAACUAUAGAGAGAAGAUUAGCAUGGCCCCUGUGC
Molecule: small nuclear RNA, 68 nt
Filed under: Erinaceus europaeus (western European hedgehog)
Lineage: Eukaryota; Metazoa; Chordata; Mammalia; Eulipotyphla; Erinaceidae
Source: RNAcentral